Molecule: ribosomal RNA, 367 nt
Filed under: uncultured bacterium
Lineage: Bacteria
Description: bacterial SSU rRNA
Rfam family: Bacterial small subunit ribosomal RNA
Source: RNAcentral
AAAGGGGCUUCGGCUCCGAGUAAAGUGGCGCACGGGUGAGUAACACGUGGGUAACCUGCCUCUAAGAUUGGGAUAACUCGUCGAAAGAUGAGCUAAUACCGGAUAAGACCACAGUUCCCGCGGGAACCGGGGUCAAAGGUAGCCUCCGCUUGCAAGCUAUCACUUAGAGAUGGGCCUGCGCACCAUUAGCUAGUUGGUAGGGUAACGGCCUACCAAGGCAAAGAUGGUUAGCUGGUCUGAGAGGAUGAUCAGCCACACUGGAACUGAGACACGGUCCAGACUCCUACGGGAGGCAGCAGUGGGGAAUAUUGCGCAAUGGGCGAAAGCCUGACGCAGCAACGCCGCGUGAGUGAUGAAGGCCUUCGGG